GGAGUAGAUUAUAUUAUUAGAAAUAUAAUAUGACUUUCAAUCAAUCUGGUUAAUACCAUUUCCCAUUAGGUAAUGUAAUCACCUACCCAUUAACCCGGUGCUUCCAGUUAACUUUUUGCUUUUACAUGGUACGGGAACAGUACAAAUGCGUUUCACGAAUAUUUAAUUAUUAUUAUUUCACGAAGUAAAAGUCUUCAACAGUGAUCGGCAUUUGGCAUUACCGUUACAUCAGCCCCUAACAAACGAAAUGUACAACUGAUGAAAAUUGAAGUUAUUUUGGAGCAGCAGCAUAGUAAUGUGACUUGAAAGUAACUGAUUGCAAGUACAGUAUAUUGCAGAAAAAUGUGGCGGUCUUCCCUAUCCUUUGUUUGCCAAACCUGACACAUUUCACUGCAACCUCCUGUACAUGAUGG
Long non-coding RNA from Daphnia carinata, 413 nucleotides. RefSeq lists it as uncharacterized. The record is from RefSeq and is a predicted model, not a curated record. Lineage: Eukaryota; Metazoa; Arthropoda; Branchiopoda; Diplostraca; Daphniidae. The transcript is spliced from 3 exons.